RNAcentral lists this ribosomal RNA (234 nucleotides) under uncultured Lactobacillus sp. Its description in RNAcentral is "partial 16S ribosomal RNA". It matches the Rfam family "Bacterial small subunit ribosomal RNA", at positions 128 to 356 of the family's 1533-position model. Lineage: Bacteria; Bacillati; Bacillota; Bacilli; Lactobacillales; Lactobacillaceae. The record is from RNAcentral.
GCCCAAGAGAUCGGGAUAACACCUGGAAACAGAUGCUAAUACCGGAUAACAACAGAUGAUGCCUAUCAACUGUUUAAAAGAUGGUUCUGCUAUCACUCUUGGAUGGACCUGCGGUGCAUUAGCUAGUUGGUAGGGUAACGGCCUACCAAGGCGAUGAUGCAUAGCCGAGUUGAGAGACUGAUCGGCCACACUGUGACUGAGACACGGCCCAAACUCCUACGGGAGGCAGCAGCG